This 45-nucleotide non-coding RNA is filed under the name Schistosoma margrebowiei. The record is from RNAcentral. Lineage: Eukaryota; Metazoa; Platyhelminthes; Trematoda; Strigeidida; Schistosomatidae.
AUCCAGCUGACGAGUUACAAAUAGGACGAAACGCGCGUCCUGGAU